This 94-nucleotide ribosomal RNA is filed under the name uncultured bacterium. RNAcentral describes it as "partial 16S ribosomal RNA". It matches the Rfam family "Bacterial small subunit ribosomal RNA", at positions 1391 to 1482 of the family's 1533-position model. The record is from RNAcentral.
CACGCCCGUCACACCAUGGGAGUGGGUUUCACCAGAAGCAGGUAGUCUAACCGUAAGGAGGGCGCUUGCCACGGUGAGAUUCAUGACUGGGAUG